GAUGAACGCUGGCGGCGUGCCUAAUACAUGCAAGUCGAGCGAACGGACGAGAAGCUUGCUUCUCUGAUGUUAGCGGCGGACGGGUGAGUAACACGUGGAUAACCUACCUAUAAGACUGGGAUAACUUCGGGAAACCGGAGCUAAUACCGGAUGAUAUUUUGAACCGCAUGGUUCAAAAGUGAAAGACGGUCUUGCUGUCACUUAUAGAUGGAUCCGCACUGCAUUAGCUAGUUGGUAAGGUAACGGCUUACCAAGGCAACGAUGCAUAGCCGACCUGAGAGGGUGGUCGGCCACACUGGAACUGAGACACGGUCCAGACUCCUACGGGAGGCAGCAGUAGGGAAUCUUCCGCAAUGGGCGAAAGCCUGACGGAGCAACGCCGCGUGAGUGAUGAAGGUCUUCGGAUCGUAAAACUCUGUUAUUAGGGAAGAACAUAUGUGUAAGUAACUGUGCACAUCUUGACGGUACCUAAUCAGAAAGCCACGGCUAACUACGUG
RNAcentral lists this ribosomal RNA (497 nucleotides) under uncultured bacterium. RNAcentral's name for it is "partial 16S ribosomal RNA". It matches the Rfam family "Bacterial small subunit ribosomal RNA", at positions 28 to 507 of the family's 1533-position model. The record is from RNAcentral.